Molecule: ribosomal RNA, 467 nt
Filed under: uncultured bacterium
Lineage: Bacteria
Description: partial 16S ribosomal RNA
Rfam family: Bacterial small subunit ribosomal RNA
Source: RNAcentral
GACGAACGCUGGCGGCGUGCUUAACACAUGCAAGUCGAACGGUGAAGCUCCAGCUUGCUGGAGUGGAUCAGUGGCGAACGGGUGAGUAACACGUGAGCAACCUGCCCCUGACUCUGGAAUAAGCGCUGGAAACGGCGUCUAAUACUGGAUACGAGAAGGGUCCGCAUGGGCACUUUCUGGAAAGUUUUUCGGUUGGGGAUGGGCUCGCGGCCUAUCAGCUUGUUGGUGAGGUAAUGGCUCACCAAGGCGACGACGGGUAGCCGGCCUGAGAGGGCGACCGGCCACACGGGGACUGAGACACGGCCCAGACUCCUACGGGAGGCAGCAGUGGGGAAUAUUGCACAAGGGGCGAAAGCCUGAUGCAGCGACGCCGCGUGAGGGAUGACGGCCUUCGGGUUGUAAACCUCUUCAGCAGGGAAGAAGCGAAAGUGACGGUACCUGCAGAAGAAGCACCGGCUAACUACGUG